CCCUUCUCAGAGUAGCACCUGGAGAGUUUCCAGUACUCUACCAGUCUUGACUACAGGAGGGAGAGUCAAGCAGAGGCCCACCCAUUCCAUUCCUAGUUUGGUCAGUGGCUAGCGAGUGGCAGGCAAUCUGCUACAAGU
Molecule: small nucleolar RNA, 138 nt
Filed under: Ornithorhynchus anatinus (platypus)
Lineage: Eukaryota; Metazoa; Chordata; Mammalia; Monotremata; Ornithorhynchidae
Source: RNAcentral